AGAGUUUGAUUCGUGGCGUCAGGAGUGAACGCGUGGCGGCGUGCAUAACACAUGCAAGUCGAACGGGCGUUAAUUCGGAAGCUUGCUUUGGAUAAGUUAGUGGCGGACGGGUGAGUAACGCGUGGUAACCUGCCCUGUACAGGGGGAUAGCAGCUGGAAACGGCUGGUAAAACCGCAUAAAACGGCAAUGCCGCAUGGCAUAACCGUCAAAUAUUCAUAGGUACAGGAUGGGCCCGCGUCUGAUUAGCUAGUUGGCGGGGCAACGGCCCACCAAGGCGACGAUCAGUAGCCGGCCUGAGAGGGUGAACGGCCACAUUGGGACUGAGACACGGCCCAAACUCCUACGGGAGGCAGCAGUGGGGAAUAUUGGACAAUGGGGGGAACCCUGAUCCAGCGAACCGCCGCGUGAGUGAAGAAGUAUUUCGGUAUGUAAAGCUCUAUCAGCAGGGAAGAUGAUGACGGUACCUGACUAAGAAGCACCGGCUAAAUACGUGCCAGCCGCAGC
This 505-nucleotide ribosomal RNA is filed under the name uncultured bacterium. Its description in RNAcentral is "bacterial SSU rRNA". It matches the Rfam family "Bacterial small subunit ribosomal RNA", at positions 8 to 518 of the family's 1533-position model. The record is from RNAcentral.